This 4720-nucleotide long non-coding RNA is filed under the name Solanum tuberosum (potato). RNAcentral's name for it is "long non-coding RNA (STUB_LNC004126)". Lineage: Eukaryota; Viridiplantae; Streptophyta; Magnoliopsida; Solanales; Solanaceae. The record is from RNAcentral.
UUUUUUCGGCUGACUCUUGAGUCCAUCCAAGAAAUGCAUCAGAUAUCACACAUGUAGGUGGAUGUUGCAAAGCUGAUAGAGCCUGCUCGAAGAGCGGCUGCAUCAGCUUUGUAGCAGUAACGAAUGCACCGAAAUAGGACAUGGAAGGAAGCUUCGCAGUAUUUUCAACACCAGGAGGGAUGCCUUGUACGUCUUUAGGAAAUGGGAGUUCGAUUACAGAGAUGGAUACAUCUUGUAGAUAAUCGCGGAUGGAGGGGGCGUUAACGGGGGUGGUGAAGAUGGUGACGGUGAUGAAACGGUUGCGCAAAAGAGUGGCAAGGUGGAGGAGAGGGAUGGUGUGACCAUGAGACAUGAAAGGAAAUAUCACAAAGUGUGGUGAUGCAACUCUGUCCAUUCUAUUUUGCUGCCAAUGAAAAUGGAUUUGAUUGAUAUCUAAGCAAUGGGAAUUGAAUGGUGUUAAAUAUAAUAUAUCCUUGCUUCAGUUUUACUUUUAUCACUUUUAAUCUUAAAAAAAUUACUGAAGUAAUAUAACAUCUCAAUUAAGCAAUAAAGUAGUGUGAUAAAAUAGUUAAAUAUAACAUAUAAUAAUGAACGAUGAGACUGCGAGUAUUGACUAGUCGAUGGUGGCCAUAAGCUGAGUCAACUUGGAUUUGUCUCUUCCCAAUUAAUUCAAUAGAAAUCUUAUGGAGAAGUAGCCUUAAAGAGUAUGAGUUUCUAGUGUAUCUAUUAUCAAAUCAAUCAAUGUUUGUUUAAUAAAAUAUUUUUGCCUGAGUGUGACUAUUUCGCGGAGAAAAUAUAUUAGACAUAUAUAAAUAUUUUAUUUGUUUGACCUAUUUUAAUUUAACACAAAAUUAAGAAAAAUAAAGAAGAAUUUUUAAUGUAAAAAUAAAUCAAAUGUAUUGAUUUUUUUUUUAUUAAUCUUGUGAUUUUAAAACUGCACUUUUAUGGUAAUGUGUAGUGUCCUCUACACAGGGCGGAUCUAGGAAGGUUCAAGGGUGUCACGAGACAUGGCUUCGUCAGAAUAUAUAUAUAUAUAUAUAUAUAUAUAUAUAAAAUAAAAAGACCGAAAUAAACCAAGAUAUAUAAAAUACAGUGUUAACUUUUAACAUAAAAGUAUGUGCGGCUCAGUCGGUCUAGUAUUGCAAUUCUUGAGCGAGGGUAGUAUUGUUUGAUAUAUUUUCUUUUCUUCGUUUGCUUUUUAUUUUUUCUUCUCUUGAUAUUUUAUAUUAACAAAAUAUUUAAUACUAUUAUUUUUAAUGAAAUCAUUUUCAAAAUGAAGAUUUAACUUAAUAUAUUUUUUUAUUUUACUUUUUGAAAAAGAGGUAUAAUAGUAAACGUAUGUGUAUAUAUAUAUAUAUAUUAAAAGGUGACACGGCUUGAAAAAAUUUCUGCGUACACCACUGUCUCUACACCUUUAUCCAUUUGGUUUGUUCCUUUUCGUUAUCUCUUUAAAUUUUUGGAUUAAAAAAAAUUACCCUUUUAGGCUCCAAACUCUAGAAAUACAAAGAGUAUUAGAAAUAUGAAUUAUCAGACUAACCCCAUUGUAUAGUACUUCCCCAUUUCAAAAAAGACUCGUAAUACUAAAUUUUACAAAAACAAGAAGUGAAGACUUAUUCUCAAUAUGCAAGAAAUUUAUCAUCUCGCUUUGAGUUUGUAUUUUUGGGGGGUGAGGAGGAGAUUGUGGCCCCAUGAUAGCGUUCUACGACCCUUAAACUCCUCAUUUGGACCAAUUUAUGUGAAGUGACUUUAUGCGUUGCAAAUACAGUGUAAUUAUCUCAUAAAAAAUUAAAUAUAGCUGAACAUAUUCUUCGCAGUCCGUAUGUAACAAUCGAGGAUAUUGUUUUACUGUUAUUAUUAAUUGAUGUGUCUAUUUCUGGUCUCGUUGUUGGCUCUUAUUGAUCAAGUGGUACUGUAGCAGUAUUCAAGUCUCCCUUCAAAUUUUCAAAAAAGUCUGCUGAUAUUGUCUUAAAUGUAGCAAUCUAAAAUACUACUUAAUUAUUCUUAGGAAAAGAAAAAAUCAAACAGGAAAAACAAAGUUAGCCGCACCAAUUAAUGGGAGAUUUAAUUUCCCUUUAUUGUAGGAGAAAGACUUAUACAAAAGGUGCCCACCUAUUCUUGUAGCACAAUCAACUACACCAUAAACUGAUUGGAUAUAGAGUUGCCUUUGUAUGAGAGUGUUGAGAUUUUUUCGCGCGAAUUCAAAUUUAGUCAAACUUUUAAUAUGGUUAAAAAAAAAAAACUAUACCAUAAACUCCUUAUUAGAUGAUCAAAUUAAAGCAAACGGCUUAUACAUUAUUGAGCACAACAAUAUACUCAAAAGGCUUUAAACAUCAACAGGGAAGAACAUGUAGCUCUUAAAUAACCUACACUAGAUUAUCCAUCACUAACAAGCAGGACGGAGCUACAAUUGGUACGGAUACGGAUUUAGAUGAGCUUACUACUUGUAUUUGAAAAUUCAUUAUACAAUUUAGUAACUUAAACGAACUAUGAUUUCAAUGGCAAAUUAAUAGUAAUCUAUCAACUUCAAAUUCUGGCCGAUUUUGGAUUUCAAAGUUUUCUGGCGCAGGCAUCAUCAAUAAGGAGGCCUAAAGUGGACCAGGUUGAGCCACCUUCUUUCAUAGCUUCCUCUGCAUUUUCACCCAAUUCCUUCACUUUCUUCCUCACCAUUUCUCCCUUUUCACCUUCCAUUAACUCUCUCACCAUUUUCUCAACUUCUUCAGCUUCCACGAAACCCCUCACUGAUCCAUUUCUCGGCAUAAUCCUCAAUCCCACCCCAAUUUCUUCCGUCACCAUUCUUGCAUUUAAGUGCUGUUCAGCCAUAAAUGGUAAAGCCAAAAUAGGCACUUUAGCACAUAUACUUUCCAAAACAGAGUUCCAUCCACAAUGACUCAAAAACCCUUUAAUGCUUUUGUGAUUCAACACUUGAUUCUGAUCAACCCAUUCUUUAACUAUCAAUGCUCUGUUUUUUACUCUGUUUUCAAACCCCUGUAAAUCCUCGAGAACAUUUUGUCUUGUCACCCAUAUGAAACAUGUGUUGGAUGAUUCUAGACCCUUUGCGAUUUCCUGUAUUUGUUCAGCGGAAACUUCUGCUUGAGUACCAAAUGCUACGUACAUAACAGGCUGUUUUUCUGUCAAUUUAUUAUUGAGCCAUUGCAUCCAUGUUUCGACUGUUUGUGAGAGUGUUGCUAUCAUGGCCCGCUUGGCUAGGCAAAGAGGUCCAACACACCAUGAUUUCGGUCCCAGAUGUUUGUUGAAAUAGUCUGCAAAUCUUGGUUCUAGUUUGUAAAAGCUAUUGCUGAUCAUGCCACUGCUCUUUGAAAAGGAAAUAGCUGUUCAACAUAAAUAAAUAAACUCAUUCAAUCUCAAAUGUUACCUUUCAAUAAUUACAAUUAUUUAACUUUAAAAUAUUUAAAUUAUAACCACAUAAAUAUUCAAUAACUCAUUUGGUCAAAUUUCUUAUAUCUUACUUAUUUUGAAUUAUUCUUUCUUUCUGAGAAGUACUAAUAUGUGUUUAACUAAUUUAUUUACAUAUACUUUUGCCAAAGUAAUUUGGGAAUGAUCAAAGUGUUAUACUCCCUCCGUCCUAUUUAUAUGUCAUUCCUUUCUAUAAAUAGUUGGAGCACAAUACUAGAAUUUAUGUAUAAAUUACCAUAUUUUGUAUAUUAUACCCUUGUUACAAUAGAUAAUUAAUCUUGUCAUUUAUUAAUAAAGUUGACUUAAGAAAAUAUUAAAUAAUGGCAGAAGGGUAAAUUUACAUAAUUUCUUAAUACAAAUGCAAAGUAAAAAGGUGACAUAUAAAAUGGGACGGAGGGAAUAUUUUUUAGCUUCUGAACGUCAAAAGGUCCAUACUUCUAUGGCUGCUAAAAAAUAUUUACUUUUCUUUCUUUUUCAAAAAUCUUAAUCAAACACUUCAACUUUCUAAAAUAAAUAAUUUUUUGUUUUAUAAAAAUAUUUUUACUUUUCAAAAGAUUCACCAAACAAAUUAUAAAACUCUAUAUAUUUAUUUUAUUAAAACUCUAUACUCAGUUAAACAAUCACAUAAAAAAUUGAAACUGAUCAAGUAUCCCAAGAGUGUUUAUAUCUCUCCAAUGACUUUAAAAUUUUGAUGAGUACUGAAUCACCUAAAACUUCAACAUAUAUUAAUGUAUGGAUCUUGGAAUACGCAAAACAUAUAUUUUCACGUGUUUGGCUAUGAGAAGUUAUUAAAUGAACAUGUGAAGGGUCAGCAUAUAUUAUUAAGACAAAAAAUAAACAUAAACAUUAUACUAUAUGAUGUGAUCUGCAAAAAUACGUACCUUGCUCCAUCAUAAAGUCCACGGCUAGACCUUUUGGCUCAAGGUCUCCAAACGGAGGUUCAAAAUCAUUUCUUGUGAACUUGAACCAUGGAAAACUUGAAAACGUAAAACUCUCAUCUAGUGAAAUAGUUUCAGCAUGAGGACGUUCUAUCCCAAUAAGUUGAUACAUAGUCGUGGCGAAAACACUCAUACCAAAGAAAAAGUACCUUGGGAUACCAAAUUUUUGGGCGGACUCUUGAGUCCACCCAAGAAACGCAUCAGAUAUAACACAUGUAGGUGGAUGUUGCAAAGCUGAUAGAGCCUGCUCGAAGAGCGGCUGCAUCAGCUUUGUAGCUCUAGCGAAUGGAUAGAAAUAAGACAUGGAAGGAAGCUUUUCAGUAUUUUCAACAUUUGGAGGGAUGUCAUGUACGUCUUUAGGAAAAGGG